Long non-coding RNA from Juglans microcarpa x Juglans regia, 551 nucleotides. RefSeq lists it as uncharacterized. The transcript is spliced from 4 exons. NCBI's taxonomy places the organism in Eukaryota, Viridiplantae, Streptophyta, Magnoliopsida, Fagales, Juglandaceae. The record is from RefSeq and is a predicted model, not a curated record.
AUUUCAUCUACUGUGCAUACAGAUUUCUUCUAAUGGUCUUUGUUUCAUUACUCCCCGUGUUUCAGUGCUCUUUGUUUCAGGCGAUCCCUUUGUUUUGCAGAAGAUGCUUUAGAGAUUAAGGAGAGUUGCAAGAGGCUAAUGGGUCAAUUAGCAAAGUUAAGACUUGACCAUGCUCGUACAGGUAACACACUAAGUAGUUGCAAUGACCUAACCCAUAAUUCUAUAGAUGCGUCUGACUAGAUGUCAUGUGGAAGCACUAAAGAUGGAAGUAGUAAAGUGAACAACCCCUUGGUGGUAAGAAGCAAAGGGAGGCCACCAUCAAAGUGUAAAGUGUCUAUAGUGGAAAAAGCGGUUAAUAAAUGUAAAGUGAGAAAUAAAAGAAAUCAGCAGUCUCUGUCAAAGUCAUCUGAUGCUACAAACACAAGAGAUAAUCUAACCCAAUAGUCUCUGUUGUCGCAUCAGGACACGAUUGGUGUUACCAGGGUAAUAACACUAAACUAACUCUCAAGGGUCAUCUAACUAUGUUGUAUUUUGUGUUUUAUAAGAGUUAA